Mauremys mutica (yellowpond turtle) is the source of this 559-nucleotide long non-coding RNA. RefSeq lists it as uncharacterized. The record is from RefSeq and is a predicted model, not a curated record. Lineage: Eukaryota; Metazoa; Chordata; Testudines; Geoemydidae. The transcript is spliced from 3 exons.
GCAAACCACUGUGCCCUGAUUGGCUGUUCUGAGCUCCAUGAUAACUAUUUUACCUUCCAGCGCGUCAUUUUUUCCUCUUGAUCUCUGACUUCACCAGCCCUGCACUAGGAGAGUCCAUGGUGCUCAGUCACCAUCAUGCUGGAGCCACAGAAGGACCCGUCAAUGCGAAUACUUGAAGCAUAAGGGGUUCAGCUGAUCUCUGACCAGUCUGUGAAGGGGUGUUGAGAACGCGGAGGGGUUCAGAGAAGAGCCUCAGGAAUGAUGACAGGAUUCGAAACCUGCCCUACAGUGACAGACUCCAGGAGCGCAACCUGUUCAGCUUAACAAAAGGAAAGUUAAGGGGAAGAGCAACGCUUUGAAGAAAGCUGUGAGCCCCGGUAACGCUAUCAAAGGGCGAGAGAGGAAAACAAGACGGUUUUGUUACAUGCUCCCCGUGAAAUGGUUAUUUCAGGGGAGUUUUGUGCUUCUUGCAACGAGUGCUGAAUUGCGCCAUCAUCAUCUGCUGCAGGAGGAAAAAUUAAAAUGAAACCGAUAAGAGGCCCAGCCGCUGCCUUCCGAC